GCAAAGUCUUAAAUGACAUUAUUCUUCCGAUUAUAGAGAAACUGAAAGCAGCAUUCAUCUCAUCGCCGAGAAACUGAAAGCAGCAUUCAUCUCAUCGCCGAGAAACUGAGAGCAGCAUUCAUCCCAUCGCCGAGAAACUGAGAGCAGCAUUCAUCCCAUCGCCGGUAAGUGCGAACGUUAAAUGGUAAAAUUGAAAUUUAGUGUUAAGAUUUAAGUUGAUGAUCACAAAUCGAAGCGAGGCUAGAAAAUCAAAAUGGGUUGAAG
This is a long non-coding RNA of Nematostella vectensis (starlet sea anemone), 264 nucleotides long. RefSeq lists it as uncharacterized. The transcript has 4 exons. NCBI's taxonomy places the organism in Eukaryota, Metazoa, Cnidaria, Anthozoa, Actiniaria, Edwardsiidae. The record is from RefSeq and is a predicted model, not a curated record.